AAGAGCUUGCUCUUGAUAUUUAGUGGCAAACGGGUGAGUAAUGUAAAGGAAUUUACCUAGCAGUACGGAAUAACUUUGGGAAACCAACGCUAAUACCGUAUACUACCAUUUAUGGGAAAGAUUUAUCGCUGCUAGAUGAGCCUUUAUCGGAUUAGUUUGUUGGUGGGGUAAUGGCCUACCAAGGCGAUGAUCCGUAGCUGGUCUGAGAGGAUGAUCAGCCACACUGGGACUGAGACACGGCCCAGACUCC
This 250-nucleotide ribosomal RNA is filed under the name uncultured bacterium. RNAcentral's name for it is "partial 16S ribosomal RNA". It matches the Rfam family "Bacterial small subunit ribosomal RNA", at positions 74 to 339 of the family's 1533-position model. The record is from RNAcentral.